Long non-coding RNA from Juglans microcarpa x Juglans regia, 1534 nucleotides. RefSeq lists it as uncharacterized. The transcript is spliced from 2 exons. Lineage: Eukaryota; Viridiplantae; Streptophyta; Magnoliopsida; Fagales; Juglandaceae. The record is from RefSeq and is a predicted model, not a curated record.
AAUUUCUUUUCUGCUACUUUUGUAAUAUUUUCAGAUAUAAAUAUUUCCUUCUCCCAUUUUCUACAAGCUUAUGGAUUCAACUUUUUCUCAAUCAAAAUAUUUGCUUCUUAUCUGUUUCCAGCCGCCUUCACCGUUUUCAUUUAAUAUUGUCGAAAUAUUUUUGCUCUCAACUUUAUCAAAUUUACAGCUUUUUGCUACAGUUUUCCGUGGGCUUCUGGAUUACUUCUUCCUUCGGAUCUUCUUACAUUCUAGAUUGUUUCAGAUCAGAUUUUAAUUUAUUUUCUUACAUCUGCUCAUCCUUUCCCCCGCUUCCUAAUUUCUGUAGGAAUUAUCAAAAUUUUUACAUUUAUCUGAAUGUAAUCUAAUUUGUCUUUUCUACCGCCUAAGCUGGUGCCUACUUCCUAUAAGAAUAUCCUCACUCUCCUUACAUUUCUAAUGUUUUCUAUCUCUGUUUCAAGUACCUCAAAUAUCUUUCUUUAAACCCUACGUUCUAAAUUUCUCUUCCAACUUUCGAAACUCGCAGGUUCUAAAUUUGUCUUCCAGCUUUCCAAUCUUCCAGGUCAAUUUUUCUUUUCCUGUUUUCUCACUACUUUCUUAAGUUAUUUACAUAUAUGCAAUGAAAAUAAGAAAUAAAAAAUUUACAUCACUAUUUGCAUUAAAAGAAAUAAAUUUUGCUUCGGAAACCUGGCUAAAUCGUCAUUCCUUUGAUGCUGUUCUUGCCUCCAUUUAUUUCUAAAUCUUCAUUUAUUUUUGCUGUCUUUAAAUUUCAUUCUCUGUUUAUGUAUACAGUAUCUGGAAUAGAAAUAGAAGGAAUAAACUAAGAAAUAAAAUUAUAAAAUUAAAAACAUGUAAUUCAUGUUCACAUCUACAAAUAUUCAUUAAAAAUCAAAGAAAAACUGAUACUAAACAAAUAAGACUUUCAGUAUACGUCGGGGAAAAAAACUUGGAACAAAUAUCAAACACUUGGAAUAAUACUAAAAAAACAGAGGCAUGUAUAAAAAAAAAAAAUCAGAAAAUGUUUGUACAAAUAUUCAUUCAACUCGAAAUAAAAAUGAUAUUGACAAAAAACACUAUGAAUAUAGGUCAAGAAAAAAUUAAUUCAUCAACACUUGAAUUGCAUAUGUUCAUAUAACGUCUAAACAAAUACCAAACAUAGUUAGGUAUACUAAAAGAACACAGUAACAUAUAUAAGAAAGAAAUCAGAAGAUAACAAAUAAGAAGUUGAAAAAAUUUUAGUGGAUGUACAUAUAUUCACCGUGCUCAAAACAAAACUGCUGCUGACAAAAACGUACAAGAAACAAAUUAAAAGAUGACAAAAAAAAAUUUCAUAACAUGCAGUACAUGUGUACAUCUACAGAGAUUCACUAAGCUCAAAAUAAAAGUAAUUGUAAGGAAAAAAUUAAGUCAAACCAUAAGAAAGACAAAGAUUUCUUGCCAUUUCAAACUUAAAAAUUUCGAAAGAAAAAAUCCAUCCAAACAUCCUAACAUAUAAAUAAAAUGACAAUAAAAACACAUGAAACUAAAUGAGAACAUG